This 370-nucleotide long non-coding RNA is filed under the name Lathyrus oleraceus (garden pea). RNAcentral's name for it is "Pisum sativum (pea) long non-coding RNA (PSAT_LNC017844)". Lineage: Eukaryota; Viridiplantae; Streptophyta; Magnoliopsida; Fabales; Fabaceae. The record is from RNAcentral.
UUCAAUAGGAAACGGCAGACCAAACUCUUCGACUCUUCCCUGAAGCCAAUCUUCAUACUGAGGGUAAGUCAUGCAGUCCCCCUUUCCAAGCACAGUUCUUCCUCUCUUGAUCACCUUGAGCCAGGCCUCAGCCGCCUUAUGGGAUACAAUCAGAUCAGAUGAAGAAUGGAAAAACAGAGAUUCUUCCACAUCUUUUUCCAAAGGCGGAGUUCUUAAAGCAUAUCCAAACUGUCUGACUGCUAGAGAAGGAUUAUAGUUGAUUCCUCCUCUUCUUCCAAUGGAAAAACAGAGAUUCUUCCACAUCUUUUUCCAAAGGCGGAGUUCUUAAAGCAUAUCCAAACUGUCUGACUGCUAGAGAAGGAUUAUAGUU